Lindgomyces ingoldianus is the source of this 71-nucleotide non-coding RNA. The record is from the annotation of a RefSeq genome assembly. NCBI's taxonomy places the organism in Eukaryota, Fungi, Ascomycota, Dothideomycetes, Pleosporales, Lindgomycetaceae.
GCGCUGUUGGUCUAACGGUAUGAUAAUUGCCUUACAAGCAAUUGGCCCGGGUUCGACUCCCGGAUAGCGCA